This 250-nucleotide unclassified non-coding RNA is filed under the name plant metagenome. RNAcentral describes it as "partial contains small subunit ribosomal RNA, internal transcribed spacer 1, and 5.8S ribosomal RNA". The stretch from base 202 to 250 matches the Rfam family "5.8S ribosomal RNA", at positions 1 to 49 of the family's 154-position model. The record is from RNAcentral.
UCUCCGUAGGUGAACCUGCGGAGGGAUCAUUACAGAGUUCUCGCCCUCACGGGUAGAUCUCCCACCCACUGUUAUCGUUACUGUCGUUUCUUUGGCGGGCCGCCGGGUCCCCGGCCGCCGGCGCCUAGCUGCCGGCGCGCGCCCGCCAGAGGCCUUCAAACUCUGAAUGUUAGUGUCGUCUGAGUACUAUAUAAUAGUUAAAACUUUCAACAACGGAUCUCUUGGUUCUGGCAUCGAUGAAGAUCGCAGC